CCGGCGACCGGCGCACGGGUGAGUAACACGUAUGCAACCUGCCCUCUUCAGGGGGACAACCUUCCGAAAGGGAGGCUAAUCCCGCGUAUAUCGGUUUCGGGCAUCCGAGAUCGAGGAAAGAUUCAUCGGAAGAGGAUGGGCAUGCGGCGCAUUAGCUAGACGGCGGGGUAACGGCCCACCGUGGCGACGAUGCGUAGGGGUUCUGAGAGGAAGGCCCCCCACACUGGUACUGAGGCACGGACCAGACUCCUACGGAAGGCAGCAG
This 265-nucleotide ribosomal RNA is filed under the name uncultured bacterium. RNAcentral's name for it is "partial 16S ribosomal RNA". It matches the Rfam family "Bacterial small subunit ribosomal RNA", at positions 88 to 354 of the family's 1533-position model. The record is from RNAcentral.